Chelonoidis abingdonii (Abingdon island giant tortoise) is the source of this 127-nucleotide non-coding RNA. NCBI's taxonomy places the organism in Eukaryota, Metazoa, Chordata, Testudines, Testudinidae. The record is from RefSeq and is a predicted model, not a curated record.
GACGCCUUCUUGCCCCGCACCUGGGAGGUGAACUCAUGUGAAAGCACCUCUGAACUCUGAGUCUCCAAUGAGCAAGGACAACACCAGUGAGUGUUAAUGACGCUGUGCCUUAAACAUGAUAGUUAAG